CAUGUGGUUUAAUUCGAUGCAACGCGAAGAACCUUACCUGGUCUUGACAUCCACAGAACUUUCCAGAGAUGGAUUGGUGCCUUCGGGAACUGUGAGACAGGUGCUGCAUGGCUGUCGUCAGCUCGUGUUGUGAAAUGUUGGGUUAAGUCCCGCAACGAGCGCAACCCUUAUCCUUUGUUGCCAGCGGUUAGGCCGGGAACUCAAAGGAGACUGCCAGUGAUAAACUGGAGGAAGGUGGGGAUGACGUCAAGUCAUCAUGGCCCUUACGACCAGGGCUACACACGUGCUACAAUGGCAUAUACAAAGAGAAGCGACCUCGCGAGAGCAAGCGGACCUCAUAAAGUAUGUCGUAGUCCGGAUUGGAGUCUGCAACUCGACUCCAUGAAGUCGGAAUCGCUAGUAAUCGUAGAUCAGAAUGCUACGGUGAAUACGUUCCCGGGCCUUGUACACACCGCCCGUCACACCAUGGGAGUGGGUUGCAAAAGAAGUAGGUAGCUUAACCUUCGGGAGGGCGCUUACCACUUUGUGAUUCAUGACUGGGGUGAAGUCGUAACAAGGUAACCGUAGGGGAACCUGCGGUUGGAUCACCUCCUUA
This 595-nucleotide ribosomal RNA is filed under the name Pseudomonas sp. TB1-B1. Its description in RNAcentral is "bacterial SSU rRNA". It matches the Rfam family "Bacterial small subunit ribosomal RNA", at positions 938 to 1533 of the family's 1533-position model. The record is from RNAcentral. Lineage: Bacteria; Pseudomonadati; Pseudomonadota; Gammaproteobacteria; Pseudomonadales; Pseudomonadaceae.